Octopus bimaculoides (California two-spot octopus) is the source of this 2310-nucleotide long non-coding RNA. The record is from RefSeq and is a predicted model, not a curated record. Lineage: Eukaryota; Metazoa; Mollusca; Cephalopoda; Octopoda; Octopodidae.
ACGUACAGCACAAUGGUGGUUCAAGAAAUUUCAUAGUGGUGACGAGAGUCUUGAAGAUGAUAAGCUUAGUGGUCGGCCAUCAGAUGUUGACAACAAUCAGCUAUGAGCCUGAGUAGAAGCCAAUCCAUGCACAACUGCGAGAGCUUGCUUUUGAAUUAGAUGUAACGUAUACGGCAAUUUCCAACCACUUGAAAGAGAUUGGAAAAACAAAAAUACUUGAGAAAUGGGUGCCACACGAAUUGAAUGACAACCAAAAAACGCUGUUUUGAAGUGUCGUCUUCCCUUCUUUUAUGCAACAAGAAUGACCCGUUUCUCGACUGGAUUGUGACUUGCGAUGAAAAGUGGAUUCUUUAUAUAUUUAUUUAGAGGAUAUGUUAACCCCAUAAAGGAACGGUUAUACAUAUAAUGAAGGAGAAUAGAGAUUUAUAUGCAGUUUUAUUCAGCAGUUAAUUACUUCUUUUCGUUUCUGCAUCUACACAUGUUUCUGCAGUAAUAAAGUAAUGCACACUGCAAAAUCUGCAUCUUUAUGAGCAUUUAUAGUUAGUUGCCACUUCUUCAGGAUGGAAUUAACUGCAUUUUUUUAGAUAGAAUCUAAAUUAAAUACAAGUCCAGCUGAAAUGCAUGUGGUGUUGACAUUGUUCAAAAAAUAGCCUAGAUUGUGAUCUUUUCAAAUCUACUGGUUAAAAACAGAAUAACUAGCUGUCCAGGGAAUUUUAGUAUUCUGCAGAUAUAGACCAUCCUCAAAUGGUGAGUAAUAGUAUUAACACUUAGUAUCAGGUUACCUUAAGUAUGUUAUUUACUAUUAUUAUUCUCCCUCUCCCUAGUAUUGCUACCACAACUGUUCUUAUUAUUAUUGUUGAUCAUCAUCAUCAUCAUUGUCGUUUAACGUCUGCUUUCCAUGCUAGCAUGGGUUGGACGAUUUGACUGAGGACUGGUGAAACCAGAUGGCUACACCAGGCUCCAAUCUGAUUUGGCAACUGGAUGCCCUUCCUAAUGCCAACCACUCUGAGAGUGUUGAUAUUGUUAGUAAUGAGCUAUUUAACACAUGAUUGCAGCUCCUACAGUGGAUUUUGGUAAAAUUGAAGCAUGGCAGUCAUGAAGUUCCUCUUUUUGCAUGGCAAAGGAGCAGUGGAAAUCCAUGGUGAGUUUAAAGAAUCUUGAAGGAUGGAUGCCCAUCUUAUUCCACAGUGAAAAUUUGGGCAUCAAGGCUUCAGACUGGUCAUUUUGAGGUCACAGAUGAACCCCAGUCAGGACAGCCAACUUCCACAACCACUGAGGACAAAGCCAAUGCUGUGACAUCAAAAUUCUUGAGGAGCACCGGAUUUCAGCUAAAGUCACAGCUGAGACUCUGGGAAUUUCCUGCAAAAGAGUUGACCACAUUAACCACAAUAUUCUGGACAUGAGAAAGCUUUCCAUAAAAUGGGUGCUGAAAUACCUGAACACAUCUCAGCAGUGCAAUAGAGUGAUGACACUAGUGGUUAUUUUGAACUGGUUUGCAGUGGAAGAGGCUGAUUUUAUGGCUAGUUUAGUCACCACAAAUGAAACUUGGCUCCAUUUUUAUGAUCCCCACACCAAGUACCAAUCAAUAGAAUGUCAUCACAGUGGUUCACUGUGUCCCAAGAAAUUUCAGGCCCAGAAGUCAGCUGAAAAGAUUCUGGCUUUGGUAUUUUGGGACAAAGAUGGAGUAUUCCUCAUAAUAUACCUGCCAAAGGGUUGCACCAUCAAUGCAGAAUACUACAUGUCUCUGAUGGACAAACCACAUGAAGCUUUGAAGCAGAAACAUCAUGGAAAGCUGAGCCAUGGUGUCCUGUUUUUGUAGGACAAUGCACCAGCACACACAGCACAUAAAACUCUAUUGAAAAUAUGACUUUGGCUUCAAAUUGGUAAGCCACCCACUUUACUCUCCUGACUUGGGCCCCUUCCGACUAUCACCUCAUUCCACUACUGAAGAAAAAUCUCAAGGGAAUGAAAUUUCACUCCAAUUUGGAAGUAAUUAUUGCUACAGAAGCCUAGUUGGAGGCCCAACCUUCUGGGUUCUUUUACAGGGCUUAGAAAAACUGAAGGGUUGCUGCAACAAGUGUGUGAAUCUGAGAGGGGAAUAUGUUAACUAAAAUCAUAAUUAACACUUUAACCACAUCAUGCACCAUAUACGGUACACGGGUAACUGUCCCAACCUGCAUUGUGUACCACUAUUGGUACACAGUAUAAAUUUAAAAAAAUUUUUUAAACUGAUAUUUUAAUGAACUCAGUCAUUAUUAUACAUGAUUUAUGUUUUAGAAAUGAAGGAUAAUAACUAGAUUUUGCAAAUUU